GGGGGAAAAAUUAAUAAAAUAUAAAUAAAAAAAAAAUUUUUAAUAAAAAUAUUUGGGGGUUAAAGUAUUUUUAAGAAAAAAUUAAUAAAUUUAUAGUUAAAUAGUAUUGUGAAAGAAUUUUGAAAUAAAUGAAAAUUAAUUUUUUAAAAAGUAAAUUUUAUUUAUUGUAUCUUGUGUAUCAAAGUUUAUUAAUAAAAUAUUAUAAGUAAAAUUUUCUCGAAUUUUAAAGAGUUAAUUAAUUAAUAAAGUUAAUGUUGAAUAAUUAUUUUAAAUAAUUAAUGGGAAAUGAAAUGUUAAUCGUUUUAAAAUAUAUCUAGUUUUUUUAGAAAUAAAUUUAAUUUAAAAUAUAAAUUAUUAAUUUUUUUUUAAAAAAAAAUUAAUAAUUUAUAUUUAAUAUUUUAAGGGAUAAGCUUUAAAAUAAAAUUUUAUAAUAAUUAUUGAAAAAUAUUAAAAUUUUAGAAUUUAAAUUGUUAAUAAAUUAUAAUUUUUUAUAAAAAAUUUAAUAUAAAAUAAAAUUUAAGGGGGGAAAAUUUAAUUUUAUAUAAAAAAAUAAUUUUUAAUAAAUAAAAAUUAAUUAUAAUGAUAAAAUUAGUAUAAUUUAUAUAUAUAUAUAUAUAUAUAUAAAUAUGUUAUUUAUAUAAUUUAAAUAAUUAUAAAAAUAGAAAAAAGUUAUAAUAAGGAAUUCGGCAAAUUACUAUAUUCACUUGUUUAUCAAAAACAUGUCUUUUUGAAAAUAAUAUAAAGUCUAAUCUGCCCACUGAUAAAUUAUUAAAGGGCUGCAGUAUAUUGACUGUACAAAGGUAGCAUAAUCAUUUGUCUCUUAAUUGGUGACUUGUAUGAAAGAUUGAAUGAAAUAUGAACUGUCUCAUUAUAAUUUAUAAAAUUUAAUUUUUUAGUAAAAAAGCUAAAAUAAAUUUAAAAGACGAGAAGACCCUAUAGAGUUUUAUAAUUUUUUUAAAAAUAAUAAAAUAUAAAUUUUUAAAUUAAAUUUAAUUAAAUUAUUUUGUUGGGGUGACAAAAAAAUUUAAUUAACUUUUUUUAAAAAAUUACAUUAAUUUAUGAUAAAAUGAUCCAUUAAUAAUGAUUAUAAGAAAAAAUUACCUUAGGGAUAACAGCGUAAUUUUUUUUUUUAGGUCAAAUAAAAAAAAAAGUUUGCGACCUCGAUGUUGGAUUAAGAUAAAAUUUAUAUGCAAAAGUUUAAAAUUUUGAUCUGUUCGAUCAUUAAAAUCUUACAUGAUCUGAGUUCAAACCGGUGUAAGCCAGGUUGGUUUCUAUCUUUAAUAAAAUAAAAUAUUUUAGUACGAAAGGAAUAAAUAUUUAAAAUAAUUUUAUAAAAAUGAAUAUUAAUAAAUAAUUUAUAUAUAUAUAUAUAUAUAUAUA
RNAcentral lists this ribosomal RNA (1380 nucleotides) under Byasa alcinous. RNAcentral describes it as "Atrophaneura alcinous 16S ribosomal RNA". The record is from RNAcentral. Lineage: Eukaryota; Metazoa; Arthropoda; Insecta; Lepidoptera; Papilionidae.